This 253-nucleotide ribosomal RNA is filed under the name uncultured bacterium. RNAcentral's name for it is "partial 16S ribosomal RNA". It matches the Rfam family "Bacterial small subunit ribosomal RNA", at positions 524 to 776 of the family's 1533-position model. The record is from RNAcentral.
UACAGAGGGUGCGAGCGUUAAUCGGAAUUACUGGGCGUAAAGCGUGCGUAGACGGCUAUCUAAGUCGGGUGUGAAAGCCCCGGGCUCAACCUGGGAAUUGCAUUCGAGACUGAAUAGCUAGGGUGCGGUAGAGGGAAGCGGAAUUUCCGGUGUAGCGGUGAAAUGCGCAGAUAUCGGAAGGAACAUCAGUGGCGAAAGCGGCUUCCUGGACCAGCACCGACGUUCAGGCACGAAAGCGUGGGGAGCAAACAGG